GCUUACGGCCACACCACCCUGAGCACGCCCGCUCUCGUCUGAUCUCGGAAGCCAAGCAGGGUCGGGCCUGGUUAGAACUUGGAUGGGAGACCGCCUGGGAAUACCAGGUGCUCUAAGCAU
RNAcentral lists this ribosomal RNA (120 nucleotides) under Misgurnus anguillicaudatus (oriental weatherfish). The record is from RNAcentral. Lineage: Eukaryota; Metazoa; Chordata; Actinopteri; Cypriniformes; Cobitidae.